Molecule: ribosomal RNA, 535 nt
Filed under: Acalles parasierrae
Lineage: Eukaryota; Metazoa; Arthropoda; Insecta; Coleoptera; Curculionidae
Description: partial 16S ribosomal RNA
Rfam family: Bacterial large subunit ribosomal RNA
Source: RNAcentral
GGCUUUUUGAGUAUAAUUUAAGGUCGGGCCUGCCCAAUGAUUAAUUAAAUGGCCGCGGUAUAUUGACCGUGCAAAGGUAGCAUAAUCAUUAGUUUUUUAAUUGAAAGCUUGUAUGAAGGGUUUAAUGAAAAAAAUACUGUCUCUGUUUAAGUUUAUUAGAAUUUUAUAUUUAAGUAAAAAAGCUUAAAUUUAUAUUGAAGACGAGAAGACCCUAUAGAGUUUAAUAUUUUGUGCAGUAAUUAGUUAUUUAGAAUUUUAAAGAUUUGUUGUAUAAAGUAUUUAAUUGGGGUGAUUGAAAAAUUAAUUAAACUUUUUUUUUAUUUUUACAUUGAUUAAUGAAUUUAUGAUCCUUUAGUUAAGAUUAAAAGAUACAAUUACCUUAGGGAUAACAGCGUAAUUUUUUUUAGAGUUCUUAUCGAAAGAAAAGAUUGCGACCUCGAUGUUGGAUUAAAAUGAAUUAUUGGUGUAGAAGCUAAUAAAUUAGGUCUGUUCGACCUUUAAAUUUUUACAUGAUCUGAGUUUAAACCGGUGUAAG